RNAcentral lists this long non-coding RNA (282 nucleotides) under Lathyrus oleraceus (garden pea). Its description in RNAcentral is "Pisum sativum (pea) long non-coding RNA (PSAT_LNC026622)". Lineage: Eukaryota; Viridiplantae; Streptophyta; Magnoliopsida; Fabales; Fabaceae. The record is from RNAcentral.
AAUAAAAAAAUCUAGGGUCUAACGUAAGGUUAGAUCCGGUAAAAGAUACACAAUAGUUUCCGGUGUAGAAACUAUUGUGUGAAAAAUUAAUUAAGUGCUUAAAGGAAUUGCUGGAAAGGAAAAAUAACAAUUGCAAAUAAAAGUAAAAAACUGUAAAAAUAAUGCUGUAAGGUAUGCUUGCACGGCUGGAAGAGAAAAGUUGAACGAAGCAGAGAGAUCGCGGAGAGCGCUGCAGGGUUUGCCAAAAACCACUAUUUAUAUUGGUCACUUUUUGUAACGGUU